GGGGGGCAGCAGUGGGGAAUAUUGCACAAUGGGCGCAAGCCUGAUGCAGCCAUGCCGCGUGUAUGAAGAAGGCCUUCGGGUUGUAAAGUACUUUCAGCGGGGAGGAAGGGAGUAAAGUUAAUACCUUUGCUCAUUGACGUUACCCGCAGAAGAAGCACCGGCUAACUCCGUGCCAGCAGCCGCGGUAAUACGGAGGGUGCAAGCGUUAAUCGGAAUUACUGGGCGUAAAGCGCACGCAGGCGGUUUGUUAAGUCAGAUGUGAAAUCCCCGGGCUCAACCUGGGAACUGCAUCUGAUACUGGCAAGCUUGAGUCUCGUAGAGGGGGGUAGAAUUCCAGGUGUAGCGGUGAAAUGCGUAGAGAUCUGGAGGAAUACCGGUGGCGAAGGCGGCCCCCUGGACGAAGACUGACGCUCAGGUGCGAAAGCGUGGGGAGCAAACAGGAUUA
RNAcentral lists this ribosomal RNA (445 nucleotides) under Escherichia coli. RNAcentral describes it as "bacterial SSU rRNA". It matches the Rfam family "Bacterial small subunit ribosomal RNA", at positions 343 to 780 of the family's 1533-position model. Lineage: Bacteria; Pseudomonadati; Pseudomonadota; Gammaproteobacteria; Enterobacterales; Enterobacteriaceae. The record is from RNAcentral.